AACGAACGCUGGCGGCAUGCCUAACACAUGCAAGUCGAACGAACCCUUCGGGGUUAGUGGCGCACGGGUGCGUAACGCGUGGGAACCGCCUUUAGGUUCGGAAUAACUCAGAGAAAUUUGAGCUAAUACCGGAUAAUGUCUUCGGACCAAAGAUUUAUCGCCCUUAGAUGGGCCCGCGUUAGAUUAGAUAGUUGGUGGGGUAAUGGCCUACCAAGUCGACGAUCUAUAGCUGGUCUGAGAGGAUGAUCAGCCACACUGGGACUGAGACACGGCCCAGACUCCUACGGGAGGCAGCAGUGGGGAAUAUUGGACAAUGGGCGAAAGCCUGAUCCAGCAAUGCCGCGUGAGUGAUGAAGGCCUUAGGGUUGUAAAGCUCUUUUACCAGGGAUGAUAAUGACAGUACCUGGAGAAUAAGCUCCGGCUAACUCCGUGCCAGCAGCCGCCGUAA
This 448-nucleotide ribosomal RNA is filed under the name uncultured bacterium. Its description in RNAcentral is "partial 16S ribosomal RNA". It matches the Rfam family "Bacterial small subunit ribosomal RNA", at positions 29 to 523 of the family's 1533-position model. The record is from RNAcentral.